RNAcentral lists this unclassified non-coding RNA (345 nucleotides) under soil metagenome. RNAcentral's name for it is "partial contains 5.8S ribosomal RNA, internal transcribed spacer 2, and large subunit ribosomal RNA". The stretch from base 1 to 120 matches the Rfam family "5.8S ribosomal RNA", at positions 35 to 154 of the family's 154-position model. The record is from RNAcentral.
GAUGAAGAACGCAGCGAAAUGCGAUACGUAAUGUGAGUUGCAGAAUUCAGUGAAUCAUCGAGUCUUUGAACGCACAUUGCGCCCUCUGGUAUUCCGGAGGGCAUGCCUGUCCGAGCGUCAUUGCUGCCCUCAAGCACGGCUUGUGUGUUGGGCUCCGUCCCCCGAUCCCGGGGGACGGGCCCGAAAGGCAGCGGCGGCACCGCGUCCGGUCCUCGAGCGUAUGGGGCUUUGUCACCCGCUCUGUAGGCCCGGCCGGCGCUUGCCGAUCAACCAAAUUUUUAUCCAGGUUGACCUCGGAUCAGGUAGGGAUACCCGCUGAACUUAAGCAUAUCAAUAAGCGGAGGA